UACGGAGGAUGCAAGCGUUAUCCGGAUUCAUUGGGUUUAAAGGGUGCGCAGGCGGGCUUGUAAGUCAGUGGUGAAAUCUUGCCGCUUAACGGUAAAAUUGCCAUUGAUACUGCGAGUCUUGAAUAUGGUUGAGGUAGGCGGAAUGUGUCGUGUAGCGGUGAAAUGCAUAGAUAUGACACAGAACGCCGAUUGCGAAGGCAGCUUACUAAGCCAUGAUUGACGCUGAGGCACGAAAGCGUGGGGAGCGAACAGG
This 253-nucleotide ribosomal RNA is filed under the name uncultured bacterium. Its description in RNAcentral is "partial 16S ribosomal RNA". It matches the Rfam family "Bacterial small subunit ribosomal RNA", at positions 524 to 776 of the family's 1533-position model. The record is from RNAcentral.